This 200-nucleotide ribosomal RNA is filed under the name uncultured bacterium. Its description in RNAcentral is "partial 16S ribosomal RNA". It matches the Rfam family "Bacterial small subunit ribosomal RNA", at positions 1301 to 1500 of the family's 1533-position model. The record is from RNAcentral.
UAGUCUGCAACUCGACUACAUGAAGCUGGAAUCGCUAGUAAUCGCAGAUCAGAAUGCUGCGGUGAAUACGUUCCCGGGUCUUGUACACACCGCCCGUCACACCAUGGGAGUUGGGAAUGCCCGAAGUCAGUGACCCAACCGAAAGGAGGGAGCUGCCGAAGGCAGAUUCGAUAACUGGGGUGAAGUCGUAACAAGGUAGC